This is a long non-coding RNA of Dromaius novaehollandiae (emu), 2472 nucleotides long. NCBI's taxonomy places the organism in Eukaryota, Metazoa, Chordata, Aves, Casuariiformes, Dromaiidae. The record is from Ensembl.
GAAUUAGAAGAUGCAAGUGUACCUGAUGGAGAGGUAAACAGUGCUGAAGUAGAGAAUUUGAGCCUCAGAAUAAGAGAGCUGGAAGAGUCAGAGUUAAAACUGAAAAAUGUGUUAGAGGACUACGUGGAAUCAGAUUCUACACUAAGAAAUAGGGUGAAAGAGCUGGAACUGUCAAACAAAACACUUCUGGCGACGACUGACCAAUUAAAUGCGAAGGUGCACCAGGCUGAAAAUGCAAAUGUGCGGGUUAAAGGGAGACUGCAAGACAUUCAGGAGGAGCUGGUGAACUUAGUUGAAAUCCAAGAAAAGGCAGAGAAGAAGCAAAAGCAAAAAUUACAUUGGCUUCAGGAGCAGCUGAAGACAAAAGAAGAUGAAGUAAAAAGCCAGUCAGAGUAUUUUGAGCACUACAAACAGAGGCAGAAGCAACAGACAGCAAUGCUGAGAGAAAAGGAAUGUUGUCUCCGGGGUAAGGUGUCUAGGCUGGAAAAGCAAGUCCUAGAUCUCAGCGCUCAUAUUGCUCUUCUGACAUCCAAGUCAGAAGAGGGAAUGGUACAGGAUCUCCAACAGAAGCUGGAAUCAGCUUUCCCUGGGACUUACUCUGACAGGGAGGUAAUGAAAUUGAAAACUCUCAUUGAAAUUGUGGAGCAUGACGUGAAAAGCCACCUUGAGACAUUGCAGCAUAAUGUGAAGCUCUUAAGGGAAAAAGAGGAAGACUGUAGAAGAGAACAGGCAGACUUGCUGACUCAACUCCAGUGCUCCCAGGACUCUGAAGACUUUCUCAGAAGGAAAUUGGAGGAAUCUUGCCAACAUGUUUGUAAUCUGAAACUAUCUGAAAUCAAACUACAGGAACAAGUCGAAGAGCUUUUGGAUGAAAAUAGGGCUUUAAAGGACCAAGGGGACAUGAAGUUAAAAAAGGAAGAUGAAGAAGAGUCAUGCCUUACAAGACUGGAAAAUGGAGACAACAUUGCAGUCAGUGUAGACCUGAAUGGAGAGCUAGUCCAGGCUGACCUUCAGAACCUGAGAUGGGGACCAGUCUUGGAUCCWCUUAGAAGCAAAGCUACUCCAAGUCCAACUGUGCUACUACAUGCUAAAGAGUCUGAAACAUCAGGAUGUGGUUGUGAUUGGCUUGAGCACAUGGAGAAGCUAUCGAAAGAACUUCGACCAGUUUUGGAAUGCAAUUUCAGUGCCUCUGCAGAUAUUACUGAAGAACUGAGUCUAACUGAGACUGAGCAGAUCAGCCUUAGAGAUAAAAGGGCAGGUGCUCUGGAAGAUACCUUCAUUCUGUUUAGACAUAUCCCAAGCUACCCUACAGACAGACUGCCUCCUCCUUGCUCUGAGAAGCUAACUAAUGAUGAGACAAGUAAGGACACCAGAGAUGAAGAACACUCCUCUCUCUUUAAGGAAAAAGCUAUAAGUCUACCAGCAGCGGCUUUGCCUGUUUCCGUGGUGGAAGCUUUGAUGAGGAACAACCACAUACCAACUGUCACAACAAUGAAGAAAGUGAUGAGCCUGAAUUUCAGUGAGGCAAAUACCACUUUUUGCCCUGAUGGCCUUUUCCAUGUUUCAGAAAGAGGCUUUUCUGAUAAGGCUUCUGCAGUUCUUUGUGGAAAGACGCCUUGCACUGCUUUCACAUUCCUGCUGGAAAAAGAUGAUGUGGAAAGGCAUCAGCAAAAUAAGCAAAUUCCGCCAAAAAGCAGAAGUGAAAAUAAAAAUCUGGGUAAAGAUGUUAAUGAUGGAAAGUAUCAACAAAAAAUCUGUAGAGGGAGAGCUAAAGAAGAAGAAAUGAAGAAUGAGAAAGCCCGGCCACAAAAGAUGGCCUGUGCUCUUGAGGAAAUAAGCAAAGUUUUAAAUAAAACUGAACUGAUCAGGCCCGGCAAACAAGGAAUGAAUUCCAAAGCCAAUCUAGGUGGCCCACAAGGUGUCCAAAACACAGGUGCUGGUUUUAAAGACCUAAAGAAGCAUUCUGAAGGGAGUUCUGAGUUAAUGGAGAACCAAGGAAACCUCUCAGAAAUCUGCAUCCCUGAUGAAGUGAGUAGGGUGUACAGUGGAGGAGAUAUAAUCAGAACAGAAGAGAAAGGAGAACAACCUCAGAAACCAAGUGAACAAAUAAACCCCUCCAGAAAUGGACUGGAAGAAAAGAAGGAACAGGCCCUAAGGCUAUGUGGCCCAAAAGAGGAGAAUUCCUCCUGUCAAAAAAUGGCUGCUGAAAGAAUGCAACGUGCAUACCCUCAGAAAGCUUCUCGCUUGGAGGAAGAGAAGUAUCCACUGAACAUUUCCUCCCCUAUGCAAGAGAAAGUGUUCUUAAAGAAAGUGUUAUUGCUAGAGAGCAAUUUUUAUGAGUAUUUCUGUCAUGUAUCGUCACUGGAAGCUGAUGAUGAAUGUAAUGUGAAAAUACGUGAACUAGAGAAAGUGGUGGCUGUGUGUUCUCAGAGGAUAUUUCUACUGAUGCAAGAGAAUGAAAAAUAUUCARAA